Molecule: long non-coding RNA, 577 nt
Organism: Cyprinus carpio (common carp)
Lineage: Eukaryota; Metazoa; Chordata; Actinopteri; Cypriniformes; Cyprinidae
Source: Ensembl
CUCACUUUCUAAAGCACAGCUGUUUGCAGGUCUUUUCCAGCCCUGAGGGACGGACUGAUAUUCUCACCUCUGGAGCUGUGAACUACUUGAGCUCGCUUGCCUGUGCAAACAAAAUCCAAGAGUCCUUUGGGGGACCCGGUGACGAGGGCACUGUUGUGAUUUUCUGUGUGCUGUAGCAAAACCUUUUUUUCCACAGGGUGCAGGUGCUUCCUUCUGAGGAAAUCAGAGGUGUCCUGAACAACACUGUGUUAUCAGCAGCUCUCUCAGUGAAGAAUAAACAGCAAUCACAUGGAUAACAGGAAUCUUGCUCACUUCCCCUAAAUGCUGAUCUAAGAAUUAUAGGCUACAAAGUGUAGGCCUGAUCGGCAAGCACCAUACAAGGAUCCAGACACAACCACAUUUCUUCAGCUCUGAUAAAGACCCCCGGAGAUUCAAGUCUACUGUUAACAAUCUAUUGGACACAAAAGUAGAAAUAGCUAAUUUCUCAAGCCAGAUGAUCAGGUAAGCAAUAUAUUUGCCACUACUGAGACUAAAUCAGUAUUUUCUUUUCUCUUAUUGUUAAAUGCUGAGUAGGUUG